AGGGGCAUGGUGCAAUGGCAGCACACCAGUCUUUGGAACUGUUGAUCAUGGUUCGAAUCCGUGUGCCCCUGCCA
RNAcentral lists this transfer RNA (74 nucleotides) under Anaerolineaceae bacterium. RNAcentral's name for it is "tRNA-Gln". It matches the Rfam family "tRNA". Rfam says of the family: Transfer RNA (tRNA) molecules are approximately 80 nucleotides in length. The record is from RNAcentral. Lineage: Bacteria; Bacillati; Chloroflexota; Anaerolineae; Anaerolineales; Anaerolineaceae.